CUCUCUGAGAGAUUCCCGAUUUUUGGACAUCGUAAUUCCAAGGGAUGAUGAUGGAGCUGAUCUAGUCGGCUCAUCGUAACAUUUUAUUGAUUUGUGUUCUCGGCUCACCGCUUCUUUUUACCGGAUUGUCCGCUUCCGGAAUUGCUGCCGCAUUCUUACUGGGUACUUCAACUUGGCCGAGUUAUGGCUCUCUACUGAUUUCCUUUUAGUCGCUGCUAACUUCUUCAUAGGACCAGCAGCAACAAAAGUUAAAAUGUCAGGAAAAGGAAGCACAAGGCGUGGCCGAGAAGAGAAACGAUAGGAAAGGACCACGCAGUGUGAUUGGUCUGCUUGUGUCUGUACUUUUCUUUCAAUAUAUAUCAAGUGGGAGGAGGAGCUUUGUCCCAACUUUUCCGGCCUGGUUUCGGUUUCCAUUCUCAUAGGGAAAGCUUAUGGAAAAACUACGUAUUUAGCCACAGCGUUUAAAAAUUGUCCCAAGAGGAACCGAGGGAGCUAUGAGUGUUGAAGCAACAUUCCCCGGACUUUUAGCAUCAUUUCUUCUUACUCUGUUGGCUGUUUCCUGGGUCAGGUACUAGACGUUUCUUACUAUUGUUGUUGAGGAACAUGAAAGUAUCUAGGAGUAUUGAGGUUAAAAAACCGAUGGAUGAGAGUAACGUAACCAUAAAUUCGAGUCCACAUAACUUAAAUGAAUGUAUAUAUAGUAACAUGCAUAGACUUGCUCGUGAAUGAAAAGCUGGAUCUGUAUAUUUUAUUUAGCUGUGCUGCUAUUAUUCACGCAUUUGAGCUUUGCUUUGAAUCCGCUGUCCGCCUAUCCAAUAUUUCGCUUACUUAAUCAGGAACAGCAAUGAAGAAAGAAGCACUUGUGUUUAUAGUAAUACCCUGACUGUGUUUAUAGAAGUAUAAUUAAUCAUGAGCACUUAUACUUCCAAGAACGUCAGCUCAAAAUCAAAACAAAAAUCGGUGAAAGUGAAUCAAAAUGAGUUACGAAAAUGAGAACCCAAUGUCAAGGACGUGGCAUGUUUCGGUGAUAGUUUUCUCGACUGCAAGACAGUAAGCUCGGUUGCGGCGAGAAUCAUCAUUGAGCAUGUCCAGAUAUGAUGUCGUCGCGAGGAUGCCGUCCGUCGUCGAAGUUUCUGAGAGCACCGGCUUGGUCAUUCUCUUUGAUGACAAUCCACUCCGAUUUGCCGGUGAGGGGGUCUUGUCUGAGCUGGAAGGACGCGUUGACUCGACUGAGAGCUCAUGAGUCAUGGCUCGAGCUGCGAGGAUAGACCUUAGGCGAGUCACUGAGAGACACCGGAAGGAGAGGAAGGGAGUAAAAGCUUUUGGGAACAAGAGACAGUGUCAAGAUGAACGGAGCUAAGGUUUUAGCCGCCAUGAGUUGUGACUCGUCAGAGGAGAUUCCCCCUCUGAUUAUUCUUUUGUUUCAUUUA
Long non-coding RNA from Eutrema salsugineum, 1430 nucleotides. RefSeq lists it as uncharacterized. The transcript is spliced from 3 exons. Lineage: Eukaryota; Viridiplantae; Streptophyta; Magnoliopsida; Brassicales; Brassicaceae. The record is from RefSeq and is a predicted model, not a curated record.